GUUGCAGCAGUCACGGUUAGUUCUACCUGGAAUCCUUGGGAUGUUUUUAUCCUAAACCAUACCCUUACCUAACCAUUUCAAAAAUGUCAAUUUGGGACGUCGCAAGGAUUCCAUGUAGCAAGGACAUUGCAUUGAGAUAUCAGGUCAAGAGGAUGUGUCCUACAAUAUCCAUGAUAGGAGGGUGUUUGCCCCCCUUUGGCCAUGCAUCGUGGGCAUCGAUGACAACUGCCAAUACACAACAACCCAGAGUCCAGAACCAGAUCCUGAGGACAAACAUCCUUCUGCAUCAAGGUCCUUUCUCAUGUUCAGACAGACUAUAUCCCACUACCUAAACUUGCGGUCAGCCUACAGCUAAUUCAUCCCUGCAACAGACUGAGCUGACCACCAUGCACUCUGAGGAUGGAUCUACGGUCGACGACAUCUUCUACUCCAAGGCUGGGCAAUUCUGGUGGAGGUCAACGGCAGAGCGGAGGUUUGAAGCUGCUUGGUCGUCUCUCCCCCCAAUUAGAGGAGGAUCUCUGGUCAAUGAAAGGUUUACCCAAUUAAUUGUUCCCUUCGGACCAUCUCAGUCUCCUGGCCAGGUUCCAGCUGGACUGAAACCCUGUGUAAUUUGGGCUGUUUGUGAUCAAUUAAUAAUCAGGAGGACCGAGGUCAAGUAUUUAAAAAUGUUUGUUCAAACUGUACAUGAUUUUCCCAUGGUGUGAUUCCAUGUUUUAUAAGUUCAUAAUUGUACUUAAUUGGUUCCUUGGGCUCACAUGGUUGUUUCCUACCUGAAGAGAAACUACUCAUCCCAAGGUCCAGAGGGGAUGGGAUGUCCUCUGAAGAAUUGUUUUUGUUUACAUGAAGAGAGAGCAAAACAAACCAAAAAGGUUGAAUUUAGUUCAAAGUUGGAAUUUAUUUGACAAAUUCUCUUACUGUUGAGAUUUGAAUGCAUGAAGCUUUUAGAUUUUAAAAGUUAAUAUUUUGUGAACAAACUGAGUAAACAAU
Molecule: long non-coding RNA, 987 nt
Organism: Oncorhynchus tshawytscha (Chinook salmon)
Lineage: Eukaryota; Metazoa; Chordata; Actinopteri; Salmoniformes; Salmonidae
Source: Ensembl